Molecule: ribosomal RNA, 841 nt
Filed under: Bradyrhizobium sp.
Lineage: Bacteria; Pseudomonadati; Pseudomonadota; Alphaproteobacteria; Hyphomicrobiales; Nitrobacteraceae
Description: bacterial SSU rRNA
Rfam family: Bacterial small subunit ribosomal RNA
Source: RNAcentral
CGAUGGCGGCAGGCUUAACACAUGCAAGUCGAGCGGGCAUAGCAAUAUGUCAGCGGCAGACGGGUGAGUAACGCGUGGGAACGUACCUUUUGGUUCGGAACAACUGAGGGAAACUUCAGCUAAUACCGGAUAAGCCCUUACGGGGAAAGAUUUAUCGCCGAAAGAUCGGCCCGCGUCUGAUUAGCUAGUUGGUGAGGUAAUGGCUCACCAAGGCGACGAUCAGUAGCUGGUCUGAGAGGAUGAUCAGCCACAUUGGGACUGAGACACGGCCCAAACUCCUACGGGAGGCAGCAGUGGGGAAUAUUGGACAAUGGGCGCAAGCCUGAUCCAGCCAUGCCGCGUGAGUGAUGAAGGCCCUAGGGUUGUAAAGCUCUUUUGUGCGGGAAGAUAAUGACGGUACCGCAAGAAUAAGCCCCGGCUAACUUCGUGCCAGCAGCCGCGGGAAUACGAAGGGGGCUAGCGUUGCUCGGAAUCACUGGGCGUAAAGGGUGCGUAGGCGGGUCUUUAAGUCAGGGGUGAAAUCCUGGACCUCAACUCCAGAACUGCCUUUGAUACUGAAGAUCUUGAGUUCGGGAUAGGUGAGUGGAACUGCCAGUGUAGAGGUGAAAUUCGUAGAUAUUCGCAAGAACACCAGUGGCGAAGGCGGGUCACUGGCCCGAUACUGACGCUGAGGCACGAAAGCGUGGGGAGCAAACAGGAUUAGAUACCCUGGUAGUCCACACCGUAAACGAUGAAUGCCAGCCGUUAGUGGGUUUACUCACUAGUGGCGCAGCUAACGCUUUAAGCAUUCCGCCUGGGGAGUACGGUCGCAAGAUUAAAACUCAAAGGAAUUGACGGGGGC